This 307-nucleotide ribosomal RNA is filed under the name Esolus parallelepipedus. RNAcentral's name for it is "partial small subunit ribosomal RNA". Lineage: Eukaryota; Metazoa; Arthropoda; Insecta; Coleoptera; Elmidae. The record is from RNAcentral.
AUUAGUAUUAGUUAUUUUCUUGAAAGUUAAAGAUUUUGGCGGUAUUUUAGUCUUUUCAGAGGAACCUGUUCUGUAAUUGAUAGUCCACGAUUUACUUUACUUAAAUAAUUUGUAUAUCGUCGUUAUUUUGAACAUUUUAUAAGAAAUAUAAUGUUCAAUUUUUUUUAUAAAAAUAUAAUUCAGAUCAAGGUGCAGUUUAUAUCUAAGAAGAAAUGGGUUACAAUAAAUUUAUUUAAAUGGUUUGGAGAAUUAAUUUUUUUCAUUAAAGUGGGAAAGUAAUAUUUUUAAGAAGUUUAAUUGAGUAAGU